AAAGUACCUGGACUUCUAUGCCCAUGCUUCUAGCAGCCAGCCUCCUAAAAUACCUCUAGUUGAAGCCAAAGUUAGAAUCCUUCUAUGAAACUACAGGAUUAAAAUGGGAUGGUUACAUGACCCAGGCUUGACCAAUCAGAUCAUCCAAACCCUUUGCCACAGUGAUUGGUCCAGGGAUACAUGCAUGAGCCAGCUCAGAGUCUCACUCUGUUGCUCAGGCUGAAGUGCAGUGGCAUGAUCUCGGCUCUGCAGCCUCCACCUCCCAGGUUCAAGUGAUUCUCCUGUCUCAGUCUCCCAAGUAGCCGGGACUACAGGCGCCUGCCAUCACGCCUGGCUGCUUUUUGUAUGUAUAGUACAGACGGGGUUUCACCGUGUUGGCCAGGCUGGUCUCAAACUCCUGACCUCAGGUGAUCCGCCCACCUCAGCCUCCCAAAGUGCUGGAAUUACGCCUAGUCAUUUAUUUUAAGUUCCCCUCACCAUAACCCAUGCUCCAUGUGAGACAGAUGUUAUUAUUUUGCUCUCUGUUGAGUUCCCAUCACCUGGCAUUUGAAGAUGCUCAGUAUAU
Molecule: non-coding RNA, 565 nt
Filed under: Pongo abelii (Sumatran orangutan)
Lineage: Eukaryota; Metazoa; Chordata; Mammalia; Primates; Hominidae
Source: RNAcentral